GGAUGUUGGUGUACACGUAUGCAUCAUAAGGCGUGUAUGCCUCUAUUUAAGGAUGUAGAAUGUUGUGUAAAUGCACUUAUACGUUAUACACAUGUGUGUAUAUUUAGUGUAUAUGUAUAAGAUGUGUGUUUGUGUGUGUGUGUGUAUGUAGGUGUGCAUGUAGGUGCCAGUGCCAAGUGUGUGAGUGCCCGAGUGUGCCCACCUGACCCACUCAAAGCCACGAAUACCCAGGGUGUUUUAGCUCACUUGGCUUGCUUCUGCCCAAGAUUGCCAGAUUAAGGGGAAAUUAUCAGUAUUUGUUGGUGUGGUGAUUUUUCUUAUCCCAGCUGAUCAUUAUGGGAGCUCUGUUGUGUUAAGGUCUGGGUUUCUGUGUCAGUGGAUGGGAAGCCUUUACAUGCGAGGUUCAGCAGGAAAUUGAACAGAAUGAAGGAAAAUUGAGUCAGUUGCCUCUGCAAAGUGUGUGAAUCUGGUGGACGGUUUCUGCACGAGGGAUCGGGGCCUGGCCUAGCGCGCUGUAGCCAGGGCCUCUGGUCUCCGUUUUACAAUUUUUGAAUUUCUGUUAAAACAAUCAAGUCUUUAGGAUGGUGUUUGUAAGAGGAGAGACGCUUACCAGAGCAAGAGGCUCAAUAUCUGUCGACGGCAUGACUGAACCCAAGCAUGACCGAGAUAGCGACCGUGAGUCCCUCACCGACUGGACACUGGUGGACCGUGAUGGGACACCAGAGGGUGCAGAGGGAGAUACCCCACAGGAUGCUGAUGAGGAUGGUGUAGCAGGAGCCACAUCUAUAGAGGACGAGGGACAGGAAGAAGAGAAAGAAUCAGGCUAUGGAAUGGAGGAAGAUGAAGAGGAAGAAGAAGAGGAAGCGGAGGAGGAGGAGGAUGACGAAGGGCUAUCCGAUGAGCUGAUCUCGAUGGGCCAGAGGGUGCAAGAGAUCAAGGGUGAGUCCGUCAAGGCCUCUCUAGUCAUACGCUAUCAGAGGAUUUCAAAGAGAAUACCAGCCUUUCUGGUGUCCGUCUCCAAUCCUCUCUUCUCCAAAGCUUCCUCGGGCUCGGACUCCAGUGACAUAGAGACUCUCGAGUGCCCCGGUCCCGAUGAUUUUUACGAGGACCACGCCCUGGCCUACGAUUCCAUGCACUCCUCCCUCAUGUCCUGCUCCCUGCGCAGUUUUACCUUUGUGGGGGACUCAGAAGCUUCUGUGGAUAAUCUGUCCUUAGAUGGUACCAUGGUGGCCAGUAGAGCUGUCUGGGAAGGUGUAAUCCCAGGUGAGGCCGAUGCAGAGAGUCUUGCCAGCACAGAUAUUUCCGUGCUGGAUGAAGAGAAGGAAAAGAUUGGAGAUGAAGAAACGGACCUCUCUCUAGCCUCCUCACCUUCACUCCCUGAUGAUCUUCCAGCGAUAAAACCUGACACCCAGUACCGCCAUACCCCCGACAGAGAUCUCAACUCUAGGCUGAACAUCGUGGUUGCACUCACUCUUGCCUGUGUACUUGGUCUUGGCUUAGGACACUUCCUUGGCCUAGUGGAUCUGUCUGUGCAGAACAUUGACAAAGGUUGGUCCAGCCGUAGCAUGUGGCAAGACACACUAAACUCUGCUCAGGUACGUAAACUGCGUGAACUCCAGGAUGACUUGGUGAGCUGCAUGAACUCACCCCUCCAGCCCCCUCCUGCCCCUGCUCCUGGAUUCUCGUUUGACACCCCCCAGCCUCCCCUAAUGGAGACAUACCCCCCUGAGGCUGAUUUGCAUGAGUCUGCUUACCCGGGUGUAGAUGCUCCCUUUGUGCCGGUCCUGCCUGAGAGCAAGGAGAACCUGCUGAUUGUGGAGUCUUUCGUAGAGUCUUUGGUGACCCCCCUAGAGGAUGCUGGGGUGGUGCUCACUACCAACCGGAGGAAAGCUGAUGUGGAAGCCUUCAGCCAGCCGCACCCAGAAGGCUUUGGGGCUGCCACUGACCCCACUUUUGCCACCCCAGACAUCAUGCAGGAGGAGGACUUCAAAGCCGGGCUACCCAGACAGGUCAUAGAGGAUCCACGCAUAUUCCAGGAGACUGAGGAAAUUCUUGGAAAUGUGCAGGAGGUUGUUGCAGAGGCUGCAGAGGUCAUAGAGGCAUGUGUCCCAGAGAGCUGUGAUCCCUUGGUCCCAUAUGAAGGUGAACAAGUGAAGAGCGAGAGCCCAGGUCUCCCCCUCCUGGACCAGUCUGCCAAAGGUGACAGAGCCGAAGAUCUACAUGAUGAGGAUUUGGCUGCUACAGUAGAGAUAGAAAACCUGCAGCUCAUUGAGAAGAUGAACCAGGAGAAUGGGAAUCUGGAAUUGGAAAUCUCACAGCUGCAGCAGGAAAAUGUUACACCUUUCAAGAUCACAGGCAAGGAUGGGAAACAAGCAAGAGACCUACGGGAGCGUAUAAAUCGGCUCAUAGUGGAAAAUGAGGAGCUGCGCAUGGCCAUAGGGAAGCUGCAGUUCUCGAGUCUGCCUGAUGGUGACACAGGUGCCUUCAACACUGCCCUUGACAAGAACUACAACCUCCGUGUUGCCGUUGGAAAACUCACACAUCUUGUCUCUGACCUGAAUGCACUGAGGGUUUCAGCCAAUGAGCUACAGGCGGAGAAUCAUGAACUCACCAUCCAAGUUGGAAAACUGCGAUACCAGCAGCAACCGAUGCCAAGGGAGCUCAAUGCUGUUGCCAGGGAAGUAGAAAAUCUGAAGAAGACGGUCCUGGAAGCCUCCGAGAAGAAGAAGGAUGUACCAAACUUGAACAAUGCCAGAAAUUACGUAUCAUAUAUGACUCAGGUAUUGGCUGCUAUCCACACACUGCAUGAGUUUGAAGAAGCUGGUGUGUUUGAGAAGAUUGACAUGGCAUCAGACGUCUUUGUGGAUAUCGCACCAAAGAAUGUUAAGAUCUCUUCACCUGUACAACAGAAGCUGGACGUAGCCCGAAGCAAGUUUUCUGAGAUCAGAAAUUCUCUGUCUGAGAAGUGGAAUAAGAUGAAGACCCUGAGCUCUCCUGAGAACUUUGCCAACCUUGGCAAGAACACGCUGUCCAAGAUGAAUCGUGUGAUCGUGAAUGUGGUGAAUAAAUUGAAGGACAUCGGCCAGAAUGUGUUCAUGAAGCGAGGAAAGGCGCCCGUUGACAAGACCAUCAACACCAUGGCUGAGCGUCUCUUGGUCCUUGACACACAAUUUGACAAGACUUGGAAUGACUUGGAGGCUGAGGUGGAAGGUGGAGCUGAUGAGGGUGUGAUUGUAGCAGACGAAGAGCCAGAGGCCCCACAGGAGGACCAUGUCCUGGUGGAGGACAGUGAGGAGACAGCAGACACUGAAACUGAGGAUGAAGGAGUGGUCAUAGACACAGAGGAGGACGAGGAAGAAGAGGAUCAGGAAAUAGCUGUUGAAGAGCCACAGGAGGACAUCCCCGCAUCCCCCAUGCCACAGAAGGGAGGUGAGAGAGGCGGCGGUGAUGGAGGUGAUAAGAAGAAACAGCCCGAGGAGAAGAAGAGCAGAGAGAAGAAAAAGAAAGCACAAGAAAAGGAAGAAAAGAAAAGCCAGGAGAGGAAGCGGAACCGAUCAAGACGGACAAGACUUAGUGAGAAGGAAGAGAAGAAGGAGAAGCGAGAGGCUGAGAAGAAAGAAAGUGAAGCACAGAAGGAUGAGCAGCAGAGAGACCGAGACCAGGCCAAGGCAAAAGGUCGGAGAGAUGGCGAGCGGGAUGGCAACAAUGGACACCACCACAGGGACGGCAGAGACAGGAACUUGCAGGACCAUCAUGACAACCAUAGAUACUACAAGGGCCAAUAUAAUAAGUAUGACAAGAAGUAUAGAGAUGAUGAUGAUGACGACGACGAUGAUGACGACGACGACGAUGACGACGACGACGAUGAUGAUGAUGAUGAUUACAGAUACAAAAGGAGGCAUUACAGGAAGAAGAGAUAUGACGACGACGAUGAUGAUGAUGACGACGAUGAUGAUGACGAUGAUGACAGGUACAAGAGGAGACGAGGGAGCAAGCAUGAUGAUGAUGACGAUGAUGACAGGAAGAGGAGGGGGCUGAUGCGUCACUGGCAGAAACCGGGCAAGAAGAACUACCGCAGGGAAGUCACAGGGCCAAAGAAAGAAUUUAUCCGACGACGGGGUAAGAACCAAACCAAACAGCACAGCCCAGAGUGGCUGGAUAAACGGGCGCAGGGGCGUGCUAGCCGGCGGAGAGAGGGUCAGAAGGCCGACUGGCUAUUUGAGCGUGCGCGGGACCGAAAUGCAUUGCGUGAGCAAGAUUUAAAGUCUGAGUGGCAGUUUGACAGAGCCCGCGGCCGGAGGGAGGUUCGAGGUGAGGCCCAGGCUGAAGAGGAACCCAGGGCGAGAGGGCGCGGAAGCGGGGGACACAAUAGAUAUGAGAAGCACUUUAACUAUAGGCGGUAUGUCAGAUUUGAUGAUGACGAUGAUGAUGAUGACGAGGAAAGAUACCAGUACCAGUUCCACGAAACUAGACGGGGGAGGGGACGGGGCGGGCAGCGGGAACACCACCGACGGGGCAAGGGGCAGAGGGAAUGGAUCAUCCCUAACUUCCAUGCAGCCGGAAAGCACUACUAGGUGUGCUCAUUGCAUCCUUAGGGUAGCAACAUCCCCAUCCCCUUGUGUCCCCUUUUUUAGAGGAGUAUAUUCAUAUGAAAAUAAUAGUAAUAAUGAUAAUGAUUGAUGGAAUAGGAAGAAGAAUAGAGGUAAUGGAAGUUCUUGCUACUGAUGAGUUCCUCUGAAACGAGGCUCUAUAGCAAUAGUUGAGGCUGACUCUCGCCCCCUUCAAUCUUAUCCGUCUUUUUUUCUUUCUUCUUUUCUUUAUUCCUUUUGGAAGUCAGUUGCUACAAAGUAUUCAAGAAAAACAAUUAUCAUUAUAUCACUCAAAGAUUUUUGUAUUUGGUCCAGCUACAUAGAUUGAUUUACCUAUUUUAUAGGUAAUGACAGCUAUGAAUGAAGUUAAUUUAACUUUGAGACGUAAGAGGUGUGUUUGAAGUAUUUUGAUUACUGUUUUCAUCAGAAAAACAUGCUUGGAGUAAUUACAAAUCUUGGUUUGUUUCUGAUGAAGAUAGUAAUUGAAACACAUCAAAUGUGUUGUUAAAGUUAACGAGUCUCAUGCAUACCUUUUUCUACGUUUGUAGCAGUGACCUCUGUUCUUUACUUAUUUUGAUUAAUCAAGAAACAAAGUUAAGUUAUUCUUUGACUCCUUGCAUCCACAGUUCCCUUAAGAAAAGUCAAGUACUUUUCUCUGUUGUGGUGCAUUGAUUGUAGAUAUAUCCUUCCUCUUGUAUGAACUUUUUUCUGAUAUUUCUCUUUUGUUUUUAUCUAAAGCUUAAGAAACCUACUUAUGAAUGGAGAAUAUACUGUAUAAUGCAUUAGUUUUUGUCAUAAAAAGAUGUCAAGGGAGAUGUUUUUGUUCUGUUUUGGAUAAAUUCCUAAUCAAGUAGGUUCCCAUAGACACUUAGAUUUUAAGGUUCCUAAUAUUCCAAGGGUGGAAGCUGUAUUUUUGACAGGAUUUUGAUGAUACACAUACGAGUGACCUGACUUUUUUUCCUUUUCAAUUUUUAACAUAAUUUUUUAAUCUCUCGAUGUAUGGUCAUCACCUUUUUUCUCUCUUUUCUUUCAAUAUUUACAAUUUUCUUUCCUUUUUUUAUCUUUCUCCUCUCAUCUCCUUUUUUCUAAACUUCCUCAUUUCCAUUCCAGAUGACUAAGCCUCGAUGCUCUUUCAUUGUUAGUUGUACACUAUUGGAAGGAACAAAAUUCCCCAGAAGAAAGCAUGACACUAGACAGGAAAUUAGCUCGGAAUAGUGCUAAAUGCCUUCACUCUGCGCAUCAACUGAUAAUCCUGCCUGUAUAUUUCAGCCACUGCACAAAGUAGCACUGCAGCAGAUGUCCUCGCAUAUCUAGUUGUCUUUAAAAAAAAAAUCUAGCCUUCCUUUUCUCAAUGACCGUUUGGAUUGUCGAAAUAUAUGCUAUUUUUUGUUUAAUAUUUGACUGAGCUCCAGAGCAGCUCAUGAGUGUAAUCUAACCCGCAUGGUGUUCUGUUCCUUCUUUGUUUCUAUUUUCACAUGCUUUUUGACUCCCAAACAUCUUGUCUCCAUUAAAGUCAUCUCUCGUCAGCCUUGCAGCUCAACUGGCCCUUUUUUUUUCUUUUUUUUUUCAUUCCUGUUUUUAUGUAAAGGUGUUGUUUCCUAAACCUUGAUUGUUUCUUCAAGGUACAGAGAAAGCUAUGUUAAAUUUCAGGAUGAAUCUUAAUUCUUCAUGCUUUAAUGUCAUAUGUGAUAGUCAUUUAUAUAUAUUAAGGAUAAAAAGGCCGAGAAGUUUGUUAAGCACUUCAUUUAAAAGUGGUCGAUGGUGUUCUUCUUUAGAGUUGUUGACAUUUAAGGAUAUAUAUACAUAUACAUAUAUAUAUAUAUAUACAUAUACAUAUACAUAUACAUAUACAUAUACAUAUACAUAUAUACACACACAUACACAUAUAUAUAUAUACAUAUACAUAUACAUAUACAUAUACAUAUACAUAUACAUAUAUACACACACAUACACAUAUAUAUAUAUACAUAUAUACAUACUAAAGGAAAAUUCAGUUGUUUAGAUAUGGACUUCCCAGUCAUUAAAAGAUGUAGUCGGUUAUAUAAUUGGAAAUGGAUGUCUCUAAUUUGAUGUUUGUAAUUUAUAUGAUAAAUACAUAUACAGAUGUCAUAAUUGUUUGACUACCAAAUGCCUUAUUUUUUCCCUCACAUGAUUAAAAACCAUUUCUUGUUUCCCAAUUAUCUCGUAUACUAGUCUUCUGUCACCCGUGAAACUGUUACUUUAUUGGAUAUGUCAAUAAACCUUACCCAAUA
Molecule: unclassified non-coding RNA, 6841 nt
Filed under: Penaeus japonicus
Lineage: Eukaryota; Metazoa; Arthropoda; Malacostraca; Decapoda; Penaeidae
Description: inner centromere protein A-like, transcript variant X10
Source: RNAcentral